AGGUCCCAAGCGUUGUUCGGAUUCACUGGGCGUAAAGGGUGCGUAGGUGGCCGGGUAAGUCUGACGUGAAAUCUCCAAGCUCAACUUGGAAACUGCGUCGGAUACUAUCCGGCUAGAGGAUCGGAGGGGAGACUGGAAUACUUGGUGUAGCAGUGAAAUGCGCAGAUAUCAGGAGGAACACCAAUGGCGAAGGCAGCACUCUGGGACGUGACUGACGCUGAGACGCGAAAGCGUGGGGAGCAAACAGG
This 248-nucleotide ribosomal RNA is filed under the name uncultured bacterium. RNAcentral describes it as "partial 16S ribosomal RNA". It matches the Rfam family "Bacterial small subunit ribosomal RNA", at positions 529 to 776 of the family's 1533-position model. The record is from RNAcentral.